Molecule: non-coding RNA, 268 nt
Organism: Maylandia zebra (zebra mbuna)
Lineage: Eukaryota; Metazoa; Chordata; Actinopteri; Cichliformes; Cichlidae
Source: RefSeq, a predicted model, not a curated record
CCUGGACUAAAACUGAAGCUGAAUUGGUCUGCAAGGAGCUUGGAUGUGGGGAACUGAUUUAUACUAAAGUCGAACGUCAAAAUUCAAGAGGGAUAAUGGACCAUGUGAGGUGCAAAGGCAGCGAGUCCUCACUGUGGCACUGUCAUUCUCAGCAUGGCAAGAACAUCCAGUGUUCAAACCAACCUUAUGUGGUGUGUUCAGGCAGUGUGGAGGUGAAACUGGCAGAUGGUCCUGGAAGAUGUGCUGGAAGAUUGGAGAUAAAGCAUGA